Molecule: long non-coding RNA, 375 nt
Organism: Micropterus salmoides (largemouth bass)
Lineage: Eukaryota; Metazoa; Chordata; Actinopteri; Centrarchiformes; Centrarchidae
Exons: 2
Source: RefSeq, a predicted model, not a curated record
UGCUGUUUCCCACCCUUUUAUGUCUGUCUGUCUGUUUUCCCUUAUGAGUCUGCUUUAAUUGCAGGUGGGCGUGGCUCUCGUGCUGGGCUCCUGCACGCUGUCUCUACACACCUGCACCUCGUUCCCAAUCAACCGUCUGUUAUCUAGCCGGUCCAGCACACCAGUAUUUGCCAGAUUGUCUGUGUAUCUACCGCCCGGAUCUGCCUGCUUCACCCUCACCGCUUCAGUCCAACCAUCCCUCCCUCGCCCCCCUUUGAACUGUUUAUUCCUCUAUAAACUCCCUUUGAAUUGUGAACAGUGAACCGGCUCUGUCAUGCUUUUGGGUCCAGCUUUUACGUACACCCGUAACAGUUAUUAAAGAUGGGAAAUGUUGCA